This 660-nucleotide small RNA is filed under the name Pan troglodytes (chimpanzee). RNAcentral's name for it is "retained intron". Lineage: Eukaryota; Metazoa; Chordata; Mammalia; Primates; Hominidae. The record is from RNAcentral.
GCGCAGACGGGGAAGCGGAGCCAACAUGCCAGUGGCCCGGAGCUGGGUUUGUCGCAAAACUUAUGUGACCCCGCGGAGACCCUUCGAGAAAUCUCGUCUCGACCAAGAGCUGAAGCUGAUCGGCGAGUAUGGGCUCCGGAACAAACGUGAGGUCUGGAGGGUCAAAUUUACCCUGGCCAAGAUCCGCAAGGCCGCUCGGGAACUGCUGACGCUUGAUGAGAAGGACCCACGGCGUCUGUUCGAAGGUGCGUAUGGGAGUCCACAGCAGAGGGAUGGGGUGCAGGGCUUGUGAGGUUCAUUCUCCCUUCUGUUGCCUCUGUUCCAGUGAUGAGAGUUGUGUCAUUGGAUAAAUGGAGCCAGCCUUUUAACUUUUAGUGGCACUUGUGGAGUAGGAAAAGUGUAUCUGGAUCAGUCUUUGCCCUGUUUCUUAGGUGUGUGGCUUUUUUGCCCAGUUACUGGACCUUCAGUUUAGUAAUGACCAGAGAUAAAGAUAGGCCUGGCACACCUGGGCACCCGUCUAUAUCUUUAUAUGAUGUCUCAAAACAAUUCUGUUUAUGUGGCCUGUUUGCUAGUGGAUGAGAGUAGACUAUGAAGUGGAAUUUCUGGGCUAAGUUAUGGUGAUAACAGGGUUUGCACAUUUGCUUGGUUUGUUGUUUUUUU